This is a long non-coding RNA of Passer montanus (Eurasian tree sparrow), 311 nucleotides long. RefSeq lists it as uncharacterized. The transcript is spliced from 3 exons. The record is from RefSeq and is a predicted model, not a curated record. Lineage: Eukaryota; Metazoa; Chordata; Aves; Passeriformes; Passeridae.
AGUGCUUUUCUAUUUGCUGUUCAGUGUUUCAGAGGAUUAAUAAUAGUAAUACUUUUGCAUUUUCUAACUAUCUGAGUUGCCUCAAGUGCUGUGGGACUUGAACAUAAUUCUUCUCUGUUCUAACUUUGAGCAUUUGUACUUUUGGAGAUGGAAGCUACAGACUCUUAAGUCCAGCAAGAACUUCCCAGAAGAGGAGUCCAGAUUUUCAGAAAAGCAGUGUUUGGAAAAUAAUGAGGCUUUGACUUUCCUAGGUUGCCACACAUGGCACAUUCAGCAGCUCUGUCCUGCUUCCAGGUGAGACAAAUCCCAGA